UGGUUUCCAGUUGCAUGGAAUAUCUUUUUUCCAUCCCUUUACUUUAAGCCUGUGUGUCUUUAAGUCUAAAGUGAGUCUCUUGUAGGCAACAUAUAUAUGAGUCUUGUUUUUUUAUCCAUCCAGCCACUCUUGUCUUGAUUGAAGCUUUUAAUCCAUUCACACUUAAAGUAGUUAGUAAUAGGUAUGUACUUGUUGCCAUUUUGCUCAUUGUUUUCUGUUUUUUGUAGAUCUUAUCUGUUCCUUUAUUCUUCUCUUGUUUUCUUUCUUUGCAGUUUA
This is a long non-coding RNA of Aethalodelphis obliquidens (Pacific white-sided dolphin), 276 nucleotides long. RefSeq lists it as uncharacterized. Lineage: Eukaryota; Metazoa; Chordata; Mammalia; Artiodactyla; Delphinidae. The record is from RefSeq and is a predicted model, not a curated record. The transcript has 3 exons.